RNAcentral lists this unclassified non-coding RNA (202 nucleotides) under Funneliformis mosseae. RNAcentral describes it as "partial contains 5.8S ribosomal RNA and internal transcribed spacer 2". The stretch from base 1 to 71 matches the Rfam family "5.8S ribosomal RNA", at positions 84 to 154 of the family's 154-position model. The record is from RNAcentral. Lineage: Eukaryota; Fungi; Glomeromycota; Glomeromycetes; Glomerales; Glomeraceae.
GUGAAUCAUCGAAUUUUUGAACGCAAAUUGCACUCCCUGGUAUUCCAGGGAGUAUGCCUGUUUGAGGGUCGUUAGAAUAAAAAAUCGAUGCGUCGCUCUUUUUUUUAUGGGUGAUCGCGUCGGAAUGAAGCCGUCGUUCAAAUGUUAAUUCAUGUCAAUGUGGCUUGAAAUUCAUCCAUCCUUUUGGAUGGAAGCAUAUUUA